This 67-nucleotide transfer RNA is filed under the name Tenebrionoidea sp. 3 KM-2017. RNAcentral's name for it is "tRNA-Met". The record is from RNAcentral. Lineage: Eukaryota; Metazoa; Arthropoda; Insecta; Coleoptera.
UAAAAGAUAAGCUAAUUAAGCUAAUAGGUUCAUACCCUAUCCAUGAAACAAAAUAUUUCUCUUUUAA